RNAcentral lists this ribosomal RNA (563 nucleotides) under uncultured archaeon. RNAcentral describes it as "bacterial SSU rRNA". It matches the Rfam family "Archaeal small subunit ribosomal RNA", at positions 196 to 762 of the family's 1478-position model. The record is from RNAcentral.
AUACCGCCAUGGGACGGGACUGCUUCCGAUCAGGUAGUAGGUGGGGUAAUGGCCCACCUAGCCUCUGACCGGUACGGGCCGUGAGAGCGAUAGCCCGGAGAUGGAUACUGAGACAACGAUCCAGGCCCUACGGGGUGCAGCAGUCGCGAAACCUGGCCAAUGAGCGCAAGCUUGAGCCGGCUAAACCGAGUGGGGUCCUAACGGGUCCCUUUUAACGAGUGUUAGUAGCUCGUUGAACAAGGAGAGGGCAAGACUGGUGCCAGCCGCCGCGGUAAAACCAGCUCUUCGAGUGGUGGGCGUGCUUACUGGGCCUAAAGCAUCCGUAGCCGGGUCUGCAAGUCCACAGUUAAAGCCCACGUCUUAAGCGUGGAAUCGCUGUGGAUACUACAGACCUUGGGAUCGGGAGAGGCGUGAGGUACGUUUCGGGUAGGGGUGAAAUCCGAUAAUCCGAAACGGACCACCGGUGGCGAANGCGUCACGCUAGAACGAGUCCGACGGUCANGGAUGAAAGCCAGGGGAGCGAGCCGGAUUAGAUACCCGGGUAGUCCUGGCUGUAAACGAUG